UGGGGAAUAUUGCACAAUGGGCGAAAGCCUGAUGCAGCAACGCCGCGUGAGUGAUGAAGGCCUUCGGGUUGUAAAGCUCUUUCUUCUGGGACGAUAAUGACGGUACCAGAGGAGGAAGCCACGGCUAACUACGUGCCAGCAGCCGCGGUAAUACGUAGGUGGCAAGCGUUGUCCGGAUUUACUGGGCGUAAAGGAUGCGUAGGCGGAUACUUAAGUCAGAUGUGAAAAUCCCGGGCUUAACUUGGGAACUGCAUUUGAAACUGGGUAUCUAGAGUGCGGGAGAGGAAAGUGGAAUUCCUAGUGUAGCGGUGAAAUGCGUAGAGAUUAGGAAGAACACCAGUGGCGAAGGCGACUUUCUGGACCGUAACUGACGCUGAGGCAUGAAAGCGUGGGGAGCAAACA
Molecule: ribosomal RNA, 402 nt
Filed under: uncultured bacterium
Lineage: Bacteria
Description: bacterial SSU rRNA
Rfam family: Bacterial small subunit ribosomal RNA
Source: RNAcentral